RNAcentral lists this ribosomal RNA (508 nucleotides) under uncultured bacterium. Its description in RNAcentral is "bacterial SSU rRNA". It matches the Rfam family "Bacterial small subunit ribosomal RNA", at positions 30 to 518 of the family's 1533-position model. The record is from RNAcentral.
CGAACGCUGGCGGCGUGCUUAACACAUGCAAGUCGAACGCGAAAGGGACUUCGGUCCUGAGUAAAGUGGCGCACGGGUGAGUAACGCGUAGAUAACCUGUCUUCAUGUCUGGAAUAAUACGCCGAAAGGGGUACUAAUACCGGAUACUCUUGCUUUUCAUAAGUUAUGCAAGCAAAGGUGGCCUCUGCAUAUGCUACUGCAUGAAGAGGGGUCUGCGUACCAUUAGCUAGUAGGUGGGGUAAUGGCCUACCUAGGCGACGAUGGUUAGCGGGUCUGAGAGGAUGAUCCGCCACACUGGCACUGGAACACGGGCCAGACUCCUACGGGAGGCAGCAGUGAGGAAUAUUGCGCAAUGGGGAAACCCUGACGCAGCGACGCCGCGUGAGUGAAGGAAGGCCUUCGGGUCGUAAAGCUCUGUCAAGAGGAAAGAAGUGUACAAUGGCUAAUACCUGUUGUAUUUGACGGUACCUCUAAAGGAAGCACCGGCUAACUCCGUGCCAGCAGCCGC